UAGAAGACUGGAUGUUAGGAAGUAAUGUAUUCACUAAGGGACCUAAAGGUUAUGUGUUUAGUCUUUAUGGAGCCUUUGGCAAGGCUGAAACAUCUGUCUAAUAUCCCAUCAUUUU
Molecule: microRNA precursor, 115 nt
Filed under: Schistosoma mansoni
Lineage: Eukaryota; Metazoa; Platyhelminthes; Trematoda; Strigeidida; Schistosomatidae
Description: microRNA sma-mir-8438 precursor
Source: miRBase by way of RNAcentral